This 3817-nucleotide long non-coding RNA is filed under the name Triticum aestivum (bread wheat). Its description in RNAcentral is "long non-coding RNA (TAES_LNC022607)". The record is from RNAcentral. Lineage: Eukaryota; Viridiplantae; Streptophyta; Magnoliopsida; Poales; Poaceae.
GGCAGGCCAUUGUCUCUGGUUGUCAGCGCGACUCAUGGGAAGGAGUCCUCCACAAAACAUGCGUAGGCUGCUGCUCUUCUCUACUCUCUCUCUCUCAUGUGAUGUGCUCCUAUGUGAAAAUUUCUGUCAUAUUGCCAAAAUGAGUGAAAUUUUAUGUUGUUCUUUGUGUGAAAUGGAUAUGCCUGUGAUUUUCAAUACCUUGAAUAGUUCAAGUACAUAAUAAAUACAAGUACAUUCUGCAAAAACAAACAGUAGAUGCAAAAUUUUCAUUUUUGCUAAAUUAUGCAAGUGGUAAUGAUAUGUGUUUCUUUUGUGGUGAAGAUUUCGGCAGUAAACUAUGCAAAAAUUUACACAACUACUGAAGUCCAACUUGAAAACCAAUAGCAGUUCAUUAGUGCAAAGAUGCAUCAAAUAAGAAAAAGCAAACCUGACCUGGAAGCAAUUUCACAUCCGAUGGUUUAUUUCGUAGCUCAUCGUUACUAGUAUAAGCCCAUGCUUGUGUCCCCGAUCUUGUUGUUUAUUCUAUAGUUCAGUGUGUAUUAAAAUAAGUUCAAUUUGUGUUAAAUAAACAAGUUUAGCAUUAUAUAAUAUAACAAAAUCACUACAUGGGAAUUUGGCAAGUAGUUCCACGAAAAGGUUUAUGACAGUUUAGACUCAAAAAAGGCAUGGAUCCAGGAUGGGCAACAUCCAGUCGGCGCCUGAUGCCUAUCUCAUCGGUGCGGUUCCUGCAGCUGUAGCGCUUCUGCUCCACGCCACCGCUGGUCGAUGCCCCGUAUGCUGCUACUUCUCCUCUCCCUUGCUCCCUGUGCUGCAACUCCUCCCUUGCCCUCUCAUGGCGAAUACCACAGAAAAAAGGCACGAGGAUGUGCUGCCCUCAGUUCUCUCUCGACAAAUCCAGCGGUGCACGUUCUUUGGUGCAACAAGUAUUGUUGGCGGCGAUGCCUGCAUCAUGGCCCAUUGAGGAGAUGCAUUUUUUUUAUGCACAUAUAUUUCUUUAGUUUUGUGUUCUUUUGUUUGCCCCAGUUGUUCCUUCUUUUAAUGUUUCUAUGCUGUGCAAUUAUGAUCCCUUCGUGAAGUGAAAAAAGAAAAGCGAGCUAAGUACUUGUUUGGAAAGCUUGCAAGUUUGAACACAUAAACCUAAAAUAAUUUCAUUGAAAAAGAUUGGUUUUGUUAAAAAAAUGAGUUUUUGGUGGGAACAUCACUGAGGAACAUAGAACUUCUCGAAUGUUCUUUUCUCUAAAUGUAUAACUAUGGUAGAUGCAAUCAUAUGCAAUAUGUAUGUUCAUAUAGAUAUAUGGUACAACUAUCUUUUCCUACAUGCACGUCGUAGAUGGUCGGCUACUAGUCUUCUGAUAGAAGAGCCCCCAAAAACAGCCUGAAGCUAUUAUCUCUCCCUAAUGUUGAUAGAAGAGCUUCAAUUAUUUUUAGUUCAUCUUUUGUAUGCUUUUCAGUCCAUCUACUUCCCGGACACAAGUCCAAUUAGUAGAAAUUCAAAUUUGAAAAUAGCAUCCAUUUUGUUCUGGUAAUCAUCUUCAACCAAUUUUGUAUAUAUCGAACUUGCAUAUGUUGGUUAGUAGGGUAGAUCUGUGUUGUAUAAGAAGCUAGAUGUUAAUUUUCAAUUAUGCUGUGACAAUAUUUUUAGUCAUCUUGAGUCUGUUGCGUAUAUCAGUUCAGAUCCUUUUUCUUGUUGGUCUAGUGCAUGUCCCGCAAUGAGCCAGGACAGGGGAGUUGUUGGACGCUACCGUAUUUGCUAGCCGUCACGAUGUGAGCAGCUAUGCCUAUUGGUCACCGUUGGUUGUCGACCAUUCUUCUUCACCAUCGCCUGAAGGUCAACUUCUGGUACAUGGGAAUGGAACACCAGACAAAGCAAAAUUGAGUGAUCAUUGGGAUGGAACACCCACAUCCGUAACUACCACUCUCUCUGUAUUCUCAAAGAUUGACUGUGUUUGUGCUGCUACAUCUCUCUCUACUAGUUGGUGUGAUUAAAUUUAUAUUUUGAUCGUUGGAUCCUCGCUUGUUAAAUCUAGCAUGCAAAAAAGUUUAGAAAAGGAGGCCCGAACAAAUUGGGUGCACUCUACCUUUUUGUUCUUAUGUUUGGUAAACCUUGUUUAGUUUGCAUUGGAGAACUUGUACUAUUCAUGUUCCUCUCAAGCUAUAUGUUUGUAUGCCUAAAAAGAACUUCAAUCAUCCUUUUGAUGUUUCUUUAUUGUCAAAUAGAAGCUAAAUAGUCUGGACAUAUGCAUUAAUAACAUUUCUUAUGGAGCAGCACACAUAUUUAGAAAUUUAAUGUAAUUACAAACCAUGAAUUUUCAUUCCCAAAAGCCUGCAAAAAAACAUCAAUUUAUAUAUUGACAUCUGCUACCGGUCCUUUUCUUGUAUAUGUUCAGUUCGACAUAUGGUGGUUCUCCAGAUCAACAUUGUGUGCUUUUUCAAUUCAUCUUGCAGGUGAAAAAGUAGCUCCCUUUUAGUUCAAAUGGAUCCAAAAAAUGGGUGCUGCAUUACAGUUCAAGACCAUUGCAUCUACUUGCGGAUGGCUUCCAUUUUGUGCUCCAUGGGUGUUUGUUCUUAUUCCUGAAAGAAAGAAAAUAAUCUAUUGCAUGUGAUAGUUCAUCUGAUCUAUAUGAUUUUUUUACCUAUUUUGCUCCAUUUUUUUCCUUACAGAUCAUGAUCUUGAGAGGCUCGCUGUCGAGACUAAAGGGAAAUUCCAUUUUCCAAUUGUUCUUUUAGUAGUACUGUUUCAGUCCAACUUUGAUAGGAUAAUGAGGAUCAGUGAACUUCCAAUGGUUACUUCUUAUAGUUGUUCUUUGUAUUACUUCAUGGGCGAUAGGGAUAUGCACAAGUCGUUGUCGUCCACAUCGUCGCCACAAGGAAACACCAGCAUCACUGCCAGCUACACGCACAUCUUUGGCACGUAGGUUUUUGCACUAAAAAUGUAUGCACUAUUGCACUGAAAGUUGUGGCCAUUUAAUGAAAAAAUAUUUUCUAUAGAACCAGUUUCUCAAGUUGUCGCCGCGUGGACGCGUCCCACUCCAACGGCAUGGCUUAUGCUUCAGUGGCAAACAGUGGAGCCCGCUGGAGGAGUCACGGGUCAAGGACCUCCUGCUCAACAGUACAACGUCUUGUUUUGUGGCAAGUCGCUCAAGGAGCUGAGUGCAUGCCGCAGUAAGUGCAUGAGUACUAACAUUAGGAUAUGUGUGGUCCUAUAAGUACAUGAGUACUAAUUAGCAAGUUUGUUUGCUUCUGAAAGCUGAAAAUGUCAACUUGUACUGAUGCAUUCCAAAAAUGUGUUGUGUGUUUUCAGGAAAAAACAAUUGUCGGGUUUUUGGUGGCCAAAUAUUAUUGAUAUGGAGAUGGAUAACUAUGUGGAUGUGCUCCUGUUGUUUUUCUGGAAAAAAACAAGAUGCCAUGUUUUACUUUAUGAGCUUUCCAAUUUGCAUACUUUAAAGUUGCUGCUUGCUCCCACCCUUAGAUUGUGCAAUUUCAAUGGGUGUCGUCGUGCAUGUUCGGAAGUAUGCCCUUUGUGCAAAAUGUGUGAAGUUUUGUCAGUAUUUUGUAUUUUCAUUUGGCAGAGGCUUCAUGUGGUCUUAUGGAGCUUUAUAGAUGUACUGUCACUACACUUUUAAGGCCCUACAGUUCAUUAUAUCAUACAUGUGUGGUCGUUCAAUAUGUAUUACAUGAUCAAUUCUUUGAAAAGAAGAACACAAUAGUUCGAUCGAAAACAAUGAUCAGUUCGAUAGUGCUCUCUCCUGCCUAUUUUGGUUGAUGUCCAUUAAUGGACAAAAAUUGUAUGGGAAAUGUUCUAUUAUUAUUAGCAUAU